This 234-nucleotide ribosomal RNA is filed under the name uncultured bacterium. RNAcentral's name for it is "partial 16S ribosomal RNA". It matches the Rfam family "Bacterial small subunit ribosomal RNA", at positions 118 to 347 of the family's 1533-position model. The record is from RNAcentral.
UGAGUAACCUGCCCUUAACUCUGGGAUAAGCCUGGGAAACUGGGUCUAAUACCGGAUAUGACUCCUCAUCGCAUGGUGGGGGGUGGAAAGCUUUUUGUGGUUUUGGAUGGACUCGCGGCCUAUCAGCUUGUUGGUGAGGUAAUGGCUUACCAAGGCGACGACGGGUAGCCGGCCUGGGGAGGGUGACCGGCCACACUGGGACUGAGACACGGCCCAGACUCCGUACGGGAGCAG